GAAAUGAACACCAAACAACAUCAUCUUUCUCAUCAGCUGAACCUCCACUGAUCUCAUCUGUGCCUCCUGUAACAGGCUCUUCUCUGAUCAUCAGUGUGUCUCUGCUUCUUCUUCUGAUCUUCACUUUGAUUCUGUCAGUGAGCGUCACUCUCUGGAGGAGGCGUCAAUCUCACAUGAAUUUCCAGAAGAAAGAAGACUGUCCUGAGAGUGCCGGAUUGAGGAAUAAUCAGGAUUACAGUGAAUACACUGCUGUCGUUUAU
Onychostoma macrolepis is the source of this 260-nucleotide long non-coding RNA. RefSeq lists it as uncharacterized. Lineage: Eukaryota; Metazoa; Chordata; Actinopteri; Cypriniformes; Cyprinidae. The record is from RefSeq and is a predicted model, not a curated record. The transcript has 3 exons.